This 254-nucleotide ribosomal RNA is filed under the name uncultured bacterium. RNAcentral describes it as "partial 16S ribosomal RNA". It matches the Rfam family "Bacterial small subunit ribosomal RNA", at positions 524 to 776 of the family's 1533-position model. The record is from RNAcentral.
UACGUAGGGGGCAAGCGUUGUCCGGAAUCAUUGGGCGUAAAGCGCGUGUAGGCGGUUCAGUAAGUCUGCUGUGAAAGUCCAGGGCUCAACCCUGGGAUGCCGGUGGAUACUGCUGGACUAGAGUGCGGAAGAGGCGAGUGGAAUUCCCCGGUGUAGCGGUGAAAUGCGCAGAUAUCGGGAGGAACACCAAUUGCGAAGGCAGCUCGCUGGGACGUUACUGACGCUGAGACGCGAAAGCGUGGGGAGCAAACAGG